CCUACGGGGGGCAGCAGUGAGGAAUAUUGGUCAAUGGUCGGGAGACUGAACCAGCCAAGCCGCGUGAGGGAGGAAGGUACAGAGUAUCGUAAACCUCUUUUGUCAGGGAACAAAGGCGGGGACGUGUCCCCGGAUGAGUGUACCUGAAGAAAAAGCAUCGGCUAACUCCGUGCCAGCAGCCGCGGUAAUACGGAGGAUGCGAGCGUUAUCCGGAUUUAUUGGGUGUAAAGGGAGCGUAGACGGCAGCGCAAGUCUGGAGUGAAAUGCCGGGGCCCAACCCCGGAACUGCUUUGGAAACUGUGCAG
RNAcentral lists this ribosomal RNA (305 nucleotides) under uncultured bacterium. RNAcentral's name for it is "bacterial SSU rRNA". It matches the Rfam family "Bacterial small subunit ribosomal RNA", at positions 338 to 640 of the family's 1533-position model. The record is from RNAcentral.